UGAAAUCUCGGGGCUCAACCCCGAAACUGCGUCUGAAACUACAGGUCUAGAAUCUCGGAGGGGGAAGGGGAAUAUCGCAUGUAGGGGUAAAAUCCGUAGAUAUGCGAUGGAACACCAGAGGCGAAGGCGCCUUCCUGGACGAGUAUUGACGCUGAGGCGCGAAAGCGUGGGGAUCAAACAGGAUUAGAUACCCUGGUAGUCCACGCUGUAAACGAUGAAUAUUAGGUAUUGGAGGAUUUGACCCCUUCAGUGCCGUAGCUAACGCGUUAAG
RNAcentral lists this ribosomal RNA (271 nucleotides) under uncultured Bacteriovorax sp. RNAcentral describes it as "partial 16S ribosomal RNA". It matches the Rfam family "Bacterial small subunit ribosomal RNA", at positions 595 to 864 of the family's 1533-position model. The record is from RNAcentral. Lineage: Bacteria; Pseudomonadati; Bdellovibrionota; Bacteriovoracia; Bacteriovoracales; Bacteriovoracaceae.